UUUAGUAGACAGAAACCUCGGUGGAAGAUUACUAAUGAGAGUGGCGAACGGGUGAGUAACGCGUGAGCAACCUGCCUAUGACAGUGGGAUAGCCUCGGGAAACCGGGAUUAAUACCGCAUAAAAUCGUAGAAACACAUGUUUCAACGGUCAAAGAUUUAUCGGUCAUAGAUGGGCUCGCGUCUGAUUAGCUAGUUGGUGAGAUAACAGCCCACCAAGGCGACGAUCAGUAGCCGGUCUGAGAGGAUGAACGGCCACAUUGGAACUGAGACACGGUCCAAACUCCUACGGGAGGCAGCAGUGGGGAAUAUUGCACAAUGGGGGAAACCCUGAUGCAGCGACGCCGCGUGAACGAAGAAGGUAUUCGUAUCGUAAAGUUCUGUCCUAUGGGAAGAUAAUGACAGUACCAUAGAAGAAAGCUCCGGCUAAAUACGUGCCAGCAGCCGCGGUAAUACGUAUGGAGCGAGCGUUGUCCGGAAUUAUUGGGCGUAAAGGGUACGCAGGCGGUUUAAUAAGUCGAAUGUUAAAGAUCGGGGCUCAACCCCGUAAAGCAUUGGAAACUGAUAAACUUGAGUAGUGGAGCAGGAAAGUGGAAUUCCUAGUGUAGUGGUGAAAUACGUAGAUAUUAGGAGGAAUACCAGUAGCGAAGGCGACUUUCUGGACACAAACUGACGCUGAGGUACGAAAGCGUGGGGAGCAAACAGGAUUAGAUACCCUGGUAGUCCACGCCGUAAACGAUGAUGCUAGGUGUUGGGGGUCAAACCUCGGUGCCGAAGUUACACAUUAAGCAUUCCGCC
RNAcentral lists this ribosomal RNA (795 nucleotides) under uncultured Clostridia bacterium. RNAcentral describes it as "bacterial SSU rRNA". It matches the Rfam family "Bacterial small subunit ribosomal RNA", at positions 68 to 873 of the family's 1533-position model. The record is from RNAcentral. Lineage: Bacteria; Bacillati; Bacillota; Clostridia.